GGACGAACGCUGGCGGCGUGCCUAAUACAUGCAAGUCGAACGAACGGAGGAAGAGCUUGCUCUUCCAAAGUUAGUGGCGGACGGGUGAGUAACACGUGGGCAACCUGCCUGUAAGUUGGGGAUAACUCCGGGAAACCGGGGCUAAUACCGAAUGAUAAARUGUGGCGCAUGCCACGCUUUUGAAAGAUGGUUUCGGCUAUCGCUUACAGAUGGGCCCGCGGUGCAUUAGCUAGUUGGUAGGGUAAUGGCCUACCAAGGCAACGAUGCAUAGCCGACCUGAGAGGGUGAUCGGCCACACUGGGACUGAGACACGGCCCAGACUCCUACGGGAGGCAGCAGUAGGGAAUCUUCCGCAAUGGACGAAAGUCUGACGGAGCAACGCCGCGUGUAUGAAGAAGGUUUUCGGAUCGUAAAGUACUGUUGUUAGAGAAGAACAAGGAUAAGAGUAACUGCUUGUCCCUUGACGGUAUCUAACC
RNAcentral lists this ribosomal RNA (476 nucleotides) under Listeria monocytogenes. Its description in RNAcentral is "bacterial SSU rRNA". It matches the Rfam family "Bacterial small subunit ribosomal RNA", at positions 27 to 484 of the family's 1533-position model. Lineage: Bacteria; Bacillati; Bacillota; Bacilli; Caryophanales; Listeriaceae. The record is from RNAcentral.